Molecule: long non-coding RNA, 333 nt
Filed under: Brassica napus (rape)
Lineage: Eukaryota; Viridiplantae; Streptophyta; Magnoliopsida; Brassicales; Brassicaceae
Description: long non-coding RNA (BNAP_LNC009673)
Source: RNAcentral
CCAAAAAUGUCUUUGACAGUUUCAUGCAAACCUCAGAAAAAAACUAUGAAUGUAGUUUUCAAAGAAGUUUUCAACAACCUUUAAGGUAUUUUUUUUUAUAGUUUUGAUGUCUUAGACAGUAAGAAUUUUUAUGUGUUAUUUUAAAAGAACAUACAAAAUCUUGCGUUCUUAGAUAGAAUUUAUGUUCUUUGCAGAUUUCAGUCAGUCAGAUGUUCUCUAGAGUGGAAAAAUGGUAGCUGUGUCACAAAGUUUUUUAUUAGUUAUGCAAACAACAUUUGUUCUUUUUUCCAAAAAAAAUCAUUUCAAUAACAACAGAGUUCUUUCUUUUUCGAG